GAAGAAACUGCGAUCCUUGGCGUCUCGAAGGAUUCAAUUUCGCUAGAACUAAAUUGGCAAGUCGAUUCUAAUCAGUUCAGUUUCCCAUCGUGUACAUGCUCAUCGUGGAGUGGAGAAUGGCGCUUGGAGAACAGUAAGGGUGAUAUCAGGAAUGAGGACAGAAAAAGUUGCAACGUGCCAUCUUUACCAAAGAUAAGCCGCAUCCGUCAUUGCUUCGCCACCUCCACUCGUGCAGCAACGUAAAUCAGGGAAUGUGGCUCCAUCGCGCUGUGUGCAUUUGGGUCAGGUGAGGUCUAUUGUCUCGCCGGAAACUUCCGCUCUCAGGAUGUCGACCCAGGGUGCCAGGGACCCCAUCUUUGCCGGUUUGGAAGGCGUCAGGAUUUUAGAGGCCACCCCCGAGUCCUUCGAGGACCCCCGAGGACCUCCCGGAGGGGCGAAACCUGUCUCCUCGACAGAGCUUUACCGGGACUUUAUUAGGCCGCUAGGAGGCCCCGGGUCCUCUGCCCGGCGUCCGCUCUCCUCGGGAUUCGAGGGCCAGCCCGGAGCCCGGAAAUCG
Molecule: long non-coding RNA, 556 nt
Organism: Orussus abietinus
Lineage: Eukaryota; Metazoa; Arthropoda; Insecta; Hymenoptera; Orussidae
Exons: 5
Source: RefSeq, a predicted model, not a curated record